AGUGAACGCUGGCGGUAGGCCUAACACAUGCAAGUCGAACGGCAGCACAGUAAGAGCUUGCUCUUACGGGUGGCGAGUGGCGGACGGGUGAGGAAUACAUCGGAAUCUACUUUUUCGUGGGGGAUAACGUAGGGAAACUUACGCUAAUACCGCAUACGACCUACGGGUGAAAGCAGGGGAUCUUCGGACCUUGCGCGAUUGAAUGAGCCGAUGUCGGAUUAGCUAGUUGGCGGGGUAAAGGCCCACCAAGGCGACGAUCCGUAGCUGGUCUGAGAGGAUGAUCAGCCACACUGGAACUGAGACACGGUCCCGACUCCUACGGGAGGCAGCAGUGGGGAAUAUUGGACAAUGGGCGCAAGCCUGAUCCAGCCAUACCGCAUGGGUGAAGAAGGCCUUCGGGUUGUAAAGCACUUUUGUUGGGCAAGAAAAGCAGCAGGUUCAUACAACGAUGUUCUGACGGUACCCAAAGAAUAAGCACCGGCUAACUUCGUG
Molecule: ribosomal RNA, 492 nt
Filed under: uncultured bacterium
Lineage: Bacteria
Description: partial 16S ribosomal RNA
Rfam family: Bacterial small subunit ribosomal RNA
Source: RNAcentral